RNAcentral lists this ribosomal RNA (496 nucleotides) under uncultured bacterium. RNAcentral's name for it is "partial 16S ribosomal RNA". It matches the Rfam family "Bacterial small subunit ribosomal RNA", at positions 28 to 506 of the family's 1533-position model. The record is from RNAcentral.
GAUGAACGCUGGCGGCGUGCCUAAUACAUGCAAGUCGAGCGAACGGACGAGAAGCUUGCUUUUCUGAUGUUAGCGGCGGACGGGAGAGUAACACGUGGAUAACCUACCUAUAAGACUGGGAUAACUUCGGGAAACCGGCGCUAAUACCGGAUAAUAUUUUGAACCGCAUGGUUCAAAAGUGAAAGACGGUCUUGCUGUCACUUAUAGAUGGUUACGCGCUGCAUUAGCUAGUUGGUAAGGUAACGGCUUACCAACGCAACGAUGCAUAGCCGACCUGAGAGGGGGAUCGGCCACUCUGGAGCUGAGAUACGGAGCAGAAUCCGACGGGAGGCAGCGGUGGGGAUUCUAGCGUAGUGGGCGAAAGCCUAUCGAAGCAACGGCGCGUGAGUGAUGCAGAGCUCCGGCUCGUAAAACACUGUUAUUGGGGAAAAACAAAUGUGUAAGUAACUGUGCGCAACUGGACGGUACCGAAACAGAAAGCCACGCCUACUUCGGU